AUGGCGACAGCUGCCGUCCUUGCGAGCCGCGAGGGCAAGGGCCGCCACUAUAUCCCAAGCUCCGUCAUACUCGACCUCUUUGGCCAAAUCGGCCCCAGCCGCAACGCCACCACCGCCACGUCCAAGACGAGUACCGGCCUGCCCAUCGCGGUGACUUUCUGCGCCGCCCGCCCGCCAGUCCUCUCGCACUUCUCCUUCAGCAGCGCGGCAUGCCCGGAACCCGAGGGUUUGUCCCUGGCGCCCAAGGUCAUCAGCGCGGAUGCUGACCUCGUUCUCCUCCGCGUCCCCGUCCAACCCUUUGGCGACUCUAAUCCGAUGUUUAGCGACUACUUCGUCUACAGGGCGCACUCCCAAAUCCCAAAGCUGGACCUGCUCCCGAAGUCUGCUCCAUAUUACUUUGGAGAUAAGGAGAUCGCCAUACUGAGCUGCGGCGACGGCAAGUACGCUGUGGCCUCCCUUCAAACCUUGGGUAUGUGUACCUUUAAGCUUCACGUGUACCGGUCUAGACCUGAUGGCAAGCCAGGGAGUUGGACCUCCAAGCUGCUGGAUGUAGAGCUGAAUGUGAAGGAGCUGCCGAGGGACAACUCGUCCUCGAUCUCUCUCGCAUCGCAGAUGCUUACGUAUCAUCGGACAACAAAGGUGAUCACGCUUGGUGGUGCUAAAGGUACCGUUGGCUGGGUCGAUCUCUGGCGAGGCAUCCUUCUCUGCGACGUGCUGGAAAUUAGCCCCACGCUCCGUGACGUGCCUCUGCCUUCUGUCUCUAAGAGUGAUUGGAGGUUAUUCCUUGACUGCUGCCCCUACUAUUUCCGUGACAUCAUUGUCGACCAGAGCAAAAGCACUAUCAAGUAUGUCAAGAUGAACCUGCACGGUGGUGCCUGGAGGGCCACCACAUGGAGCAUGCCUAUCCCGGUCACUUCAUUGAAUGGCUGGCAAUUUCAAUGCUCCGCCCUGUCGACUGAGAUUGAUAUUCCUGCUGAUGUCAAAAGGCAUUAUAAGCUGUUGCAUAAGCUCAUGAGCGGAAGCGCCAACAAGGAGGGGAAUGCUGCAGAGGAAGUCUUGUCCCUGGAAUCUCUACGCAUGGCUUACCCUACCUUGAGCAUCACGGAUGGUGAUGAUAUUGUUUACUUGUUGGCCAAGGGCACCGGCAUGAGGGCUAUGCCGACAGUAUUCUCUGUUGAUCUCAGUAUGCGGACUCUGCGAGGAGUGGCGAAGCUACCCAAGAGGCACCUUGGUUUUAUGCGCUACUUCCUUGCCAGUGGAAUCUCCAAACAUAUCAGGACUCCAGGUAGAAGUGAUUCCCUUGGGCAAACUGAGGUGCAAGAUACGAAUACUUGUGGUCAAGAAAGCAAAAGUGACUCCGUUGAGCAAACUGAGGUGCAAGAUGCGAAUACUUGUGAUCGAGAAAGUGGGUUUGCUUGA
This 1419-nucleotide ribosomal RNA is filed under the name Triticum aestivum (bread wheat). RNAcentral's name for it is "partial small subunit ribosomal RNA". The record is from RNAcentral. Lineage: Eukaryota; Viridiplantae; Streptophyta; Magnoliopsida; Poales; Poaceae.